Phyllosticta citrichinensis is the source of this 71-nucleotide non-coding RNA. NCBI's taxonomy places the organism in Eukaryota, Fungi, Ascomycota, Dothideomycetes, Botryosphaeriales, Phyllostictaceae. The record is from the annotation of a GenBank genome assembly.
UCCGUCGUGGCGCAGUGCUAGCCCGCCGGACCGCAAGUCUGGAGGCCCGAGUUCGAUUCUCGGCGAUGGAA